RNAcentral lists this long non-coding RNA (226 nucleotides) under Trifolium pratense (red clover). RNAcentral's name for it is "long non-coding RNA (TPRA_LNC008251)". The record is from RNAcentral. Lineage: Eukaryota; Viridiplantae; Streptophyta; Magnoliopsida; Fabales; Fabaceae.
CCAAGAUCAUCAUCUUGUGAUUUGCAAUGAACAGUCAUAUUUGAGGGAUGUGGAGGUACCACUAGUGUAUUGAAAAUCGUCACCACUACCUCACCCGCACUGGUUUGAAAUGCAAGUAGUAUAAUUAGGAGAAUUGAAAAUUUUAACGUAGUUGAAUUUGGAGUUGCCAUUGUUGUAUGCAUAAUACCCACAAGAUUUACAACAAUCUUAAUUUAUAGUAGCAAUA